AGGGAUUUAGCUCAGUGGCACAGCACCUGCCUGGCAAGCCUGAGAUUCUGAAUUUGAUUUCUGGAACCCCUA
RNAcentral lists this transfer RNA (72 nucleotides) under Cavia porcellus (domestic guinea pig). It matches the Rfam family "tRNA". From Rfam's summary of the family: Transfer RNA (tRNA) molecules are approximately 80 nucleotides in length. Their secondary structure includes four short double-helical elements and three loops (D, anti-codon, and T loops). Lineage: Eukaryota; Metazoa; Chordata; Mammalia; Rodentia; Caviidae. The record is from Rfam by way of RNAcentral.